Octopus sinensis (East Asian common octopus) is the source of this 4333-nucleotide long non-coding RNA. RefSeq lists it as uncharacterized. NCBI's taxonomy places the organism in Eukaryota, Metazoa, Mollusca, Cephalopoda, Octopoda, Octopodidae. The record is from RefSeq and is a predicted model, not a curated record. The transcript has 2 exons.
CACCAGCUCAGUCAUCUCCCUUGAUGUUUUAAUGCCUGCCCACUUUCUCUCUCUCUCUCUCGGAACUACCUUUUAGGCAGAAAGUUAAAAUUAUACACCCAAGGAGUCAUACCUGGCUCAUUUUUCCUCAACCUCUACUGGGCUUCACGUUUUCAAUAUCUGUCCCUCAUCCACCAUAAAGUGAAACAUAUAGCUUCGCACUUCUUAUACAUGGUUCAUAUAAUCUGCUUUUGUAUGGUGAACAAGUCUCUGCACUCCUUUCACCUCUUUAUUACUCUAGCUAUAUGUUCACUUCAUGUAUUUCUUGCCCUUAUUUGAUCACUGAGGUAAUACAAAAAGAAAACUAUCAACAAUGUCAAGCAAUCCAUCUGAGUCAAAUUUAUAGACAUCAUUUCAUGUAAGCAGUUACCGAUUACCUUCUCCUGCUCAUUUAAUCAUCAACAUCCUCGUCUUGACAUCUACUUUUCCAUACUGGCAUAAGUCAGAUGGAAUUUGUUGAGGCUGAUUUUGCUAUGGCCAGAUGCCUUUCACUUAUUUACAGGGAAAGUAAUAGUUCCUCAUGACCCAGUAUGUUUUCAUGGAAGAUUGGAAAUGGACACCACUCGCAUAACAGUGAAGCUUGUUUACAACUAUCGUGAUAUCAAGUCAAGGUGACAGUAAUAUACACCUGCAUACAUAUUUCAGUUUCUAUCUACCAAAUACACUCACAAGGUUUAGUUGGCCUGGGGCUCUGGUUGAAGUCAGUUGUCCAAGGUGCCAUGUAGUGGGAGUGAACCUGAAACCAUGUGGUUAGAAAGCAAAGUUUUUACCAUGCAGCCACACCUGCAUCUACACCCAUGCCUGUGCCUACACUAUAUAGCUAAAAACUUGGAUCUCACUCACUCUAACAGAGAUUCCUCUGCUCCUUUUCAAUACAUAUUGUUUGCACUAAAUACUCAACAUUGAGUCUCCUACCCUCUACUUACUUACUUGUCAGCUUUAUCUCAUAUCCAAGAAUUUAGUUUCUUCUUUGCUGAAAACUAUGGUGAUGGUGUUGAUGACUCUGUAAACCAUUUCUUGCAUUGAAGAGUCAAUGACAUUGACUGCAUGGGUGUAGGGUGUGGUUGAUUUUGUUGAGCCUUUCUCUCCUAUCAUUUGAUUUCUUCCAAGCCCGAAACUGUACCAAAUGGGGUAUCCUAUCAUGUCCCUGCUACAUCUACCCAGACCUCUCUUGGAUUUUGAGUUCCUGUUCAAAACCAGUAUUUUAUAGUCUUUGUACUGUUGAUUUUUAUGGUGAGUUCAGUAUUAUAUUGCUUCAUUGCUUCACCUGCCUUUAUAAAUUCUUCACUAACAUUCUUCCUCUCUUCACAAGGUAUACAUUUCCUCCAGAUUUCUCUGGUACCAAUAUAUUUCAGGUUUUGACAGGUACAGAGUCAGUUUCAGUGUAUGCAGACUUUGUGUAGGAGAUGCCAUGUCUCUAUUUGACUCUGCUUCCAUUUACCUUACUUUGGCAACGAAGCUUUAAUACUGCAUGUCCAUUUACUAUUCUUGUUAAUCUAUACCUCAGUGAAGGUGACAAGCUUAUAGAAUUGUUAGCACACGAGGUGAAAAGCUUAGUGGCAUUUUGUCUGUCUUUAUGUUCUGAGUUUAAAUUCUGCCAAAGUCAGCUUCGACUUUCAUCCUUUCAGGCUUGAGAAAAUAAGUACCAGAUGAGUCCUGAGGUUGAUGUAAUCAACUUAACCCCUCCCCUGAAAUUACUGGCCUUGUGCCAAAAUUUGAAAUCAAUAUAUAUUUCAAUGUUAGAGUUGUGAUAUGUCUGUGUGGAACUCAAAAUUAACCUGUGGCAGUAAAAGCAGAAACAAUUCAGUUUAUGCACACAUUUGAUGGUUCACUCACCAUUGCUAUGCUGGAGAUAACCUAAUAUGUACAAUAAUCCAUUAUAUUUUUAAUUAAUUAGAUGCACAUUCUAAUUAUUGCACAUGUGUUUACAUAACUAAUUGAAGAGGAUUACUUAAACAUUUGUGGAAUAAUUAGUUUGUGUAAAAUAAUUCUACCCAAAAAGCAGAAGCUACAGGUAUAAAUGUGACAUAAUAUGGGAACAUUAGGCUGAUUAAUCUCUUUUAUGAUCAUAUUUUUAAUGUACUCCAAAUGAUUUUGAAAUAAAAAACCAAACAUCUUUAAAAAGCAAGGCCAGAUUUAGUUCAAUAACUAACUUUGCCAUUUUUAUGACAUAAAAAUUAAAAGGCAAAAUUAUAUUUUAAAUACAAACAUUUAUAAUCAGGCAGUUUCAUAUGAAACCAGAGGUGGUCUCUUGUAGGUUUGCAUCAGAAAUGUAACUGAUAUGUCCAGAAGCAUUUUUGCUAAAGAGCACUAAAAUCCUUGAUGAAGAACAGUAUGUCAAAACUACUCUGACAUAUACGCAUAAGCAUAGAUAGACUUUAAGCAUUUCUCCAUUCACAUGACAUAUCCAUUCCAGCACAACUGCUCUUGUUUCUUUGCAUGUAGGAGCUAAUGUCUUUAAUGAUGACCAGUUUGUAGUUUGUCUUGUGUGCUCUCAAUUUUUCUAUUACUGCCUUUAAUAUUGAAACUCCAUAUCUUAUAUACUAUGUAUCAUCAUACUCUUUACACAUGUUUUGGAUGAUCUACUCUUUACAAAGGGUAAGGAAGGAGUAUCCUUAGAUGUUAACAGAGGUAAGAAAUCUUAACUUCUAUUUUAGUCAAGCUAUUAUAUUUUCACAACAAACUCUAAUAACUUAGAUAUUUUAACUAGAUAACAAACUAUAGCUACCUAAGUAACUAAGAGUGAGCCUCUAUAUGUUCUGUCUACCUGCUAGAGAUAGCAGUCAAAUUUUCCUUAAAUCACUCACUAUCAGUUUAGUAAAGGCAGGAUGUAUUGGAUAAUGACUAAAAAUAUUAGACAAACUGGUAACAGCUAAACAUCUUUGAUCAUAGGCAUGAUCAAAAAGGAUUGAUCUGGGACUAAACAAUAACAACAAUUUCAAAGGAAAUUGUUUAGUUGUCUAUGAACUUGUUGUAUAACCCCAGGUUGUCCCAGAUCAAACAGAGCUACAAUCAAAAUUACUUUUAUAAUGAUCAUCCAUCCUAUCUAGUAAAAUGUAGUUUCAGAGUGUGUUGGUUGCUAUUUCUAACAGGUCAUAAUACCAUAAAGCAACUCCAUUGAUUUGUUGUUCAUAUUUUUUAUUUCAUGAUUGCUUUGAUAAGAAAAAUUGUUGCUUUCAAGUUAAAAUUUAAUGAUGAGCAUAGCAAAGUCUAAAGUUCUGAUUAGUAACAGAAAAUACCAAAACCACUAACAUUUUGAUGUCUUUAUUCAUUAAGCUUUUUCUUAGUUUAUCAUCUGACCAUCUGCCAUUGUAUCUGUCUUUUCUAACCUAAUAAGAUCUAGUACAAGGCUAAUACCAUGAUGAACCUAACCUGUAAACAAAAAAACCUAUUUCAAAGUAUUUCACUGUGUUAAAUGCUAGCAGUGAAGGUUUACUAGGUACAUAUGAACAUGCAAUAUAUAUAAGCAACAAAGGGAUUUUCUUGUAUGAUUAUUGUUGUGUAAAGGAGGAGAAUAGUGGAUUGUGAGAGCUGGGGAAAUGCCUAGGCAGUAUUUAGUUAUGUCCCUUUAUAUCCUGAAGUCAAAAAAUCACUUUACUUUUCAUCCGUCUGUGAUGGAGGUUGGAUGAUAAGAUAAAGUGGUAGUAAAGUACUAGGUUCAAUUUGUCACCUACUACCCUUUCUUACAAAAAUGUUUGGCCUUGCACCAGUUGAUAUAAAUCAAUAUUAUAAGAUAAAUAGUAUGAAUGGGAGAUUUAUUUGUGUUUAUUAAGAGAUAAAUAGCAAUAGCUUAGAUUUAGUUGUCGCUUAUAUUUUUAUUUCACUAAUAUAUUUUUAAUUGAUGGAGAUGGGUUGACAGAAAAUAGAACAGCCAUGAACAAAAUGUUCUUUGAUAUUUAAUUAUAUCUAUCUACGUUUUGAGUUCACAUUCUACCAGGAUCAACUUUGCCUUCUAUUCUUCUGAGGUCAAUAAAAUACCAGUCAAGCACUGGAGUCAAUAUAACCUACUGAGACCUUGUGGUGCCUAUGCUAGAAAUCAAUAUUAUAUUUGUAAUAAAGAAUUUUGAUUUUAAUUUUCACUAUAUAAUUAAACUCUGCAGAUUAAUUGUGUUUUCAUUUAUUUUCAUUAUAAAUUAGGAAUUAUCAAUUCUGAAAUUUUUUUCCGACUGAAAAGCAAUGAUUUUACUUUAAUGAUUUACAGAUGAUGUUAAAGCAAAGAAAUGUACAAUGAAAUGACUCAUUUGUCUUGCACACUUAACCAUGGCUUUGAAAGUAAAUGAUUUUGAAUUUAUAA